Molecule: transfer RNA, 73 nt
Filed under: Bathycoccus sp. RCC1105 virus BpV2
Lineage: Varidnaviria; Bamfordvirae; Nucleocytoviricota; Megaviricetes; Algavirales; Phycodnaviridae
Description: tRNA-Asn
Rfam family: tRNA
About the family: Transfer RNA (tRNA) molecules are approximately 80 nucleotides in length.
Source: RNAcentral
UCUCUCGUAACUCAAUCGGUAGAGUGUAGGACUGUUAAUCCUGAAGUAGGGGGAUCGAAACCCUCCGAGAGAG